UUCUCCUGAAGAGCUUCUGUUUCAGGUUCUUCCUCUUCAAUUGCUGGUUUUUCAUCUUUCUUUUCAACAACUAGUUCUUCAGAUGUGUCUUCAACUGUUGGUUCUUCAGGUUUCUCUUCAAGAGCUAGUUCUUCAGGUGUUUCCUCCCCUGCAAGCUCUUCAGGUGUUUCUAUAGUCGCCGGUUCUUCAGGUUUCUCUGUAAUCUCUAGUUCAGGUUUCUCCUCAACUGGUACUUCAGAUUUCUCCUCAAAUGUUGGUUCUUCAGGUUUCUCCUUAAUAGCUGGUACACCAGGUUUCUCUUCAAUGAGUGGUUCUUCAGUUUUUUCUUCAACUGCCGAUUCUUCAGGAUUUUCCUCACUGUCUGGAGAGUGUGCAACAUCAUUAUUGGUAUUGCAUGGGAUUUCACUGCCAGUUUUUUCGUUCGAGUCUACAAUUAGCAUAUUCUGCAAAAAGAAUUUAAUGUUUCACUUAGCCUUUCAAUAAAGAUGCAGAUGUGAAUCAUAGUACAUACAUAACUAACAAAAUGGAUAAACUUUGUGAUAGUGCUUGACCCUUACCUUUUCCAAAAGAGUUACCUUUUCAGGUUUCUCCUCUUCCAUGGCUGGUUCUUCAUGUAUCUCUUCAAAUGCUAGUUCCUUAGGUGUUUCUUCAAUUACUUGUUUUUCAGGUUUCUCCUCAAUUUUUGGUUCUUUGAUUGUCUCCUCAACUGAUGGUACUUCAAGCUUUUCUCCCACGGUUGGUUUUUCAGGUUUCUCUUCAACUGUCGGUUGUUCAGGUAUUUUCUCAACCGCUGGUUCUUCUGGUUUCCCCGAAACCCUUGAUUCUUCAGAUUUUUCUUCAAUUGCUGAUUCUUCAGAUAUCUCUUCAACUAUUGCUUCUUCAGUUUUUUCCUCAACUGAUGCAUAGUCAGCAAUGUCAUUGUUGGUAUUGCAUGGAAUUGCAUUGUCUAUUGUGUUCUUUGAGUUUACAAUUGGAAAAUUCUGCAAGAAAAUUUAAAGUUUCAUCUAGUCUUUCAAUAGAUAAACAUGUAAAUGCGUUGCACAUAUAAAGCUAAUAUGCUGAAUAAACUUUGUGAGAGUUAAUUCUCACCUUCUCCUUAAGAGCUUCCAUUUCAGGUUCCUCCUCUUCAAUUGCUGUUUUUUCAACUUUCUCUUCAACAACUAGCUCUUCAGAUGUAUCUUCAACCGUUGGUUCUUCAGGUUUCUCUUCAAGUGCUAGUUCUUCAGGUGUUUCUAUUGCUGCCGGUUCUUGAGGUUUCUCUUCAGUCUCUGGUUCUUGAGGUUUCUCCUCAGCUGGUACUUCAGAUUUCUCCUCAAAUGUUGGUUUCUCCUCAACUGCUGGUACAUCAGGUUUCUCUUCAAUGACUAGUUCUUCAUUUUUUAUUUCAACUGCCGGUUCUUCAGAAUUUUCCUCAAUGUCUGGAGAGUGAGCAACAUCAUUAUUGGUAUUGCAUGGAAUUUCACUGCCAGUUUUGGUGUUCGAGUCUACAAUUAGCAUAUUCUGCAAAAAGACUUUAAUGUUUCACUUAGCCUUUCAAAAGAAGAGCAUGUGAAUCACUGUACAUGCAUAACUAACAAAAUGGAUAUACUUUGUGAUAGUACUUGACCCUUACCUUUUCCAAAAGAGUUACCUUUUCAGGUUUCUCCUCUUUCAUUGCUGGCUCUUUAUGUAUCUCUUCUAAUGCUAGUUCCUUGGGUGUUUCUUCAGUUACUUGUUUAUCAGGUUUCUCCUCAAUUUUUGGUUCUUUGAUCGUCUCCUCAACUGAUGGUUCUUCAAGCUUUUCUCCCACUGUUGGUGUUUCAGGUUUCUCUUCGAUUGUCGGUUGUUCAGGUAUUUUCUCAACCGGUGGUUCUUCUGGUUUCUCCAAAACCCUUGAUUCUUCAGAUUUCUCUUCAAUAGCUGAUUCUUCAGAUAUCUCUUCAACUUCUGGUUCUUCAGUAUUUUCCUCAACUGAUGCAUAGUCAGCAAUGUCAUUGUUGGUAUUGCAUGGAAUUGCAUUGUCUGUUGUGUUCUUUGAGUUUACAAUUGGCAAAUUCUGCAAGAAAAUUUGAAGUUCCAUUUAGUCUUUCAAUAGAUGAAACAUAUUUAAAUUCAUUGCACUUAUAAAGUUAAUAUGCUGAAUAAACUUUGUGACAGUGUUAAUUGUCACCUUCUCCUGAAGAGCUUCCGUUUCAGGUUCCUCCUCUUCAAUUGCUGGUUUUUCAUCUUUCUCUUCAACAACUAGCCCUUCAGAUGUAUCUUCAACUGUUAGUUCUUCAGGUUUCCCUUCAAGUGCUAGUUCUUCAGCUGUUUCUAUAGCUGCUGGUUUUUCAGGUUUCUCUUCAGUUGCCGGUUCUUGAGGUUUCUCCUCAGCUGGUACUUCAGAUUUCUCCUCAAAUUUUGGUUCUUCAGGUUUCUCCUCAACUGCUGGUACAUCAGGUUUCUCUUCAAUGACUGGUUCUUCAUUUUUUAUUUCAACUGCCGAUUCUUCAGGAUUUUCCUCGAUGUCUGGAGAGUGAGCAACAUCAUUAUUGGUAUUGCAUGGAAUUUCACUGCCAGUUUUGGUGUUCGAGUCUACAAUUAGCAUAUCCUGCAAAAAGAAUUUAAUGUUUCACCUAGCCUUUCAAAAAAAGAUCAUGUGAAUCACAGUACAUGCAUAACUAACAAAAUGGAUAAACUUUGUUA
RNAcentral lists this long non-coding RNA (2664 nucleotides) under Solanum tuberosum (potato). RNAcentral's name for it is "long non-coding RNA (STUB_LNC003301)". The record is from RNAcentral. Lineage: Eukaryota; Viridiplantae; Streptophyta; Magnoliopsida; Solanales; Solanaceae.